RNAcentral lists this long non-coding RNA (255 nucleotides) under Brassica napus (rape). Its description in RNAcentral is "long non-coding RNA (BNAP_LNC018806)". The record is from RNAcentral. Lineage: Eukaryota; Viridiplantae; Streptophyta; Magnoliopsida; Brassicales; Brassicaceae.
AGAGAGACCCAGUGAACCCACCGAGAAAUUAGUUGAGCAUGUAUGCACCCAAGGAUAAAUUAGAGAGACCAACUCAUUUACUGCAUUCCAUCUUAUAUGGUCUAGCUUUAUUCGAAAUUGAAAUUCUAUUGUGCAAUAUUAGAGUUUUUGUUGAUUUGACCUUAAGUGCUACAGUAAACUUUUUAUUUGAGAGCGUAUCCUGAAGAAUAAUUUGAGCAUAUAUAUAUAUAUAUAUAAACAUAGUUUUGGUCUAUA